CUCCGCAGGGGCAGAGGGGGAGGGGACGAAGCCGCCCGCCGCCAUUUUGCUUGUGGGCUGCCGCCCGCCGUUGCCUCUCCGCCGAGGCGCAAAGGCAGUAGUAGCGAACUGGAGGCGGUGAGGUGGGCAGGAUCUCCGUCUUUUUCACGACAGAGCCAUUCGACAAUUCACGGAAGGUCUGGGGAAGUUUCGGUAUCGGGUGGGAUGGAGGCUUUACAACCCUGGUCCGCUCCAGGUUGGAUCUAGGGGGAGCCUGGGCAGGCAGCAACUGGGGGGAAGUUGGAUGGCAGCCGGGCCUGGGAACGACCCCGUCCCGACACUCCCCGAAAGCGCUGCGCUAUCUCCCACCCCCAAAACCACCUCAGUCCCGGGCUCCCCCUACUCCCUCCCCCCAGGCUGGCCUCCAGCGCAGGGUGAACCCGGCUGGGAUGUCACUCGACGCCCACUAGGGGCUGAGGAGGCUCCAGUGCGCAGGCUCAGGGCGCCGGAUAAAAGCGGAGCUGGCGAGUCCAGUGCCGUCUCGAUGGAGGAGCACGAAACGGAAGAGGUCGGGGGGAGAAGCAGCAGGAAAAGUGCAGCCACCGUCGGCGCCGCCUCCCUGCCACAGUGUAUCGGGGUAAAACGCUGCCGUUGCCGUCGCUGCCUCCUAGACUUCUCUUGGCCCCGGGGAAGGAUUUCCCCCGCCUGCGGGACAAUGUGUGUGUGGGGGGGUGGGACGGGGACUGGGAAUUCCUUUAUGUGGCGGUGAUUCAACGAGGGAGGGACAAGGAGACGGUUAUCUGGAAGAAGAACUGUCGGGGGAGGCCAAAGAAUAAAGGGUUUCCCUCACUAAAAUGACACGGCGAUUCCGGCUCUUGUUGUCGGGGUCUUUCCCCGAAAUGGCGGUUUCCGUCUUCUUGCCCCACGGCGACCCGGAGCGCCUGGUAAGCGGAGUGGGGAGAGGCAGAGGCGGUCUCGGCAGCCAAUCGGUGCCUGAUGUGGUCUGUCGGGCGCGUCGUGAUUGGCUAGCGAUGACCUCAUGCUGCAGCAGCGGGUGGGGCCAAAGCCGUCGGGGGAGGCUGUUGCAAAGGCAGAAAGGGAGAAGUGACGAUGGUGAUCCUUGCUGCCGCGGCCGAUAUGGAACCCGAGCAGCGGCGAAGGGACUCGCAAGCCUCUUCCCUGACCAUUUUCUCCUGUCUCUGCGCGAGAUUCCCGGGGACGUGUACUGCUGGAUGAAUUACAUCCACCACCAGAAGAAGGUGCAAUCAUGACAUGAGAUGAACUUGAACUGGGACACAUGCUACAAUUGCAGCCUUAUUCUCUCUACAAUGCUUCUGCUACUUAUUACAGGAUGAAGGAAAAGCCUACAUUCAUACUGUAAAAAGUCUAUGCACUGCUGCACAAAAGGCACGAUAAAUUGCCUCGUGUUGCCGAAGCACCCAAGGGGAACAUGGUGAAAAACAAGGAACCUGCACUCGCUUAACUCUAUCAGCCAUUCAGGCAUCCAGCAGUGGAAGAAAUCGAUGCCAGCAGAAGCUGACAGGCUGUGGAGGGGGAACACUCAGACGAGGACCGGCGCUCGAAGCACCUGGCAGGAGAGAUGCGAGACUUGUUCGUGCCACCUCUUCAUCAGCACCUGGCUGACAAACUGUUGUUCUAAUAUUUAUACCUCUGGGGAAGGUACCUGUUUACCCCUCCGUUGACUUCUGCAAAAUGGAGUCAUCACAAGACAACCCAGAUGAAACAGUGUGGUUUAUAGUGUGGUGCAGAAAACAAAUCGUGUCCUGGUCAGAAUUUUGGUUUUCAACUCAACGUAAUUCGGUGAACAUUUAACUUAAGGUCACAACACAAAAGAUUUACAUCCAUUAGAAAGGUGGGGGUUGACCUGGAGGUUGAGAUGCCCACGUGAGACGGGCGAGUGCCUGAGUUCGAUUCCAAGCUCAGGCUCCCGACUCCAGCUUCCUGCUAAUGUAGAACCUUGCAGCAGCAGUGACGACUCGAGCAAUUGCGCUCCUGCCACCCAGGUGGGAGACCUGCAUGGAGUUCCCAGCUCCAGGCUUUGGCCUGGCCCAGUUCUGACCAUACAUUUCAGGGAGGGAGCCAGUGGACUGGGAGCUCUCUCCAACUCUCAAAUAAAUACAUCAAAAUUAAGUGAAAAAGAAGGGUGGGAGGAAGAAAGAAUAUAAACAAAUAUUGGGCUCUCAAAAGAGAAAGACUGGAAAAUCGUGUCUGAUCAGAAGAAAAGCAUCUCUGUUCGGCUGGGGUACUGAGCCCCAGUUUGCCAGAGUGAAGGGAUUUGGUGUAGACCCCUACUGUGCUGAGUCAGGAGUGAAAACCCAGACCAGGGCUAUAAGUGUCCAAUUAGGAGCCCAUCCACACCUGCAUGUAUGAGCAACAGCAUCGAGUGGAGAAGUCACUUUUUCAGAAUAUGAUUUCAGACAAAAGGACAAAUGAUUACACAUCACCUACUGAUUUGCCCAAAGUUUGAGGGUGAAUAGCUUAGUAAGAUAAAAUCAGAAUCUAGAACUUAAAAAUUAAAUGUAGUUCUGAUCUUGAGACCAUGACAAGAUAACUUUUGGAAUGUGUCAUGGGCCCAAUCAUAUUCCUUAAGAUCUUGAUAACGGUAUAGUGAUUAACAUACAUCGUGAAAACAGGUAAUUAUUCAACAUUUGCAAUGUGUGGAGCAUACUCUACAUGCACCAUCUCAUGUAAUUAUUCAGUAAAGCAAAGAGAAACCUCACAACACUUCUUCUUGACUCCCGAAUCUUUCACAAAGAGGACUGUUUUUUUUUUUUUUUAAAUUAAUGUACUUAUUUGAAAGUCAGAGUUACACAAAGAGAGGAAAGGCAGAGAGAGAGGUCUUCCAUCCAAUGGCUCACUCCCACAAUGGCUGGAGCUGCGCCAAUCCGAAGCCAGGAGCCAGUAGCCUCCUCUGGGUCUCCCACGUGGGUGCAAGGGCCCAAGGACUUGGGCCAUCUUCCACUACUUUCCCAGGCCAUAGCAGAGAGCUGGAUCAGAAGUAGAGCAGCCAGGACUAGAACCAGUGCCAAUAUGGGAUGCCGGUGCCUCAGGCUAAGGCGUCAACCCCUGCGCCACAGCGUUGGCCCCAAAGAGGACUGUUUUUAACUACUCAGCCCCUCAUCUUACUCCUUACUCUCCGAGGAUAUGGAGUGGGUUCCUUAAGGAAAAGCGGUGCCCAGGAACUAGGCACACCUGCCCAACCCUUUCUUACCUUGCCUCCCUGUUUGUCCGCACAGGUGAGUGUUCUACUUCCCUGUGCAGGCCCUGGGCUUUGAGUGUUGCCUGAGGCCAGGAAGACAAGUAUGCCCAGUGGAAGGUUUAAUAGACCUAAAGUCAUGUUCUUUGUCCUGUCCUUAGAAUAAAGGUAUUGUUUUGGUCUCCAUCUGGCAGCUGCUUGCUAUCUCCCAGCUGAUUCAGAGCUCUAGUGGGGAAGUAGGGGUUGCUAUUCAUUAUUGUGGCACCAACAUUGGCAUUAUUAUUAAUAUUUUUAUACAUGAUGGAACUACAGAAUUUUUAGAUAGCUUCCUCAAGUUCAUACAAAGCCCACAGCAGCAGAACCAGGUUUGAACUCAAGGCUCUAGCUUCAGAAUCUUUGUAUAUAGUACCAUCUAUACCAUUAUCCUCUGCCUGUGAAGAAUGACGAUGCCUAGGAAAUCAUUUUAGAAUAUCAGUUACAGGGGCCAGCAUCGUGGCACAGCAGGUUAAGCUAUUGCUUGCAACUCUGGCUUUAUGUAUAGGCUGCUCCACUUCCAUACCAGCUCCUUGCUGAUGCACCUGAGAAAGGAGCAGAUGAUGGCCCAAGUGUUUGGGCCUUUGCUUAGAGGCCCAGAUGGAAUUCCAGUCUCCUGGCUUUGGCCAGCCCUAGCCCUGGCUGUUGCAGCCAUUUGGAGGAGUGAACCAGUAGCUGGAAGAUCUCUUUUGCUCUCUUUUUCUCUGUCUCUAUCACUCUGCCUUUCAAAUAAAUAAAUAACUUUAAAAAUAUUGGUUAUAGUGAUAAGAACACUUAUUUUA
RNA transcript from Lepus europaeus (European hare), 4011 nucleotides. RefSeq lists it as uncharacterized. The record is from RefSeq and is a predicted model, not a curated record. Lineage: Eukaryota; Metazoa; Chordata; Mammalia; Lagomorpha; Leporidae. The transcript has 3 exons.